AAUCAACGCUGGCGGCGUGCCUAACACAUGCAAGUCGAACGCGAAAGUCCCGCAAGGGAUUAGUAGAGUGGCAAACGGGUGAGUAACACGUGGGUGACCUGCCUUCGAGUGGGGGAUAACGUCCCGAAAGGGACGCUAAUACCGCAUAACAUCCUGCCUUUGAAGAGGUGGAGAUCAAAGCUGGGGACCGCAAGGCCUGGCGCUGGAAGAGGGGCCCGCGUCUGAUUAGCUAGUUGGGAGGUAACGGCUCACCAAGGCAACGAUCAGUAUCCGGCCUGAGAGGGCGGACGGACACACUGGGACUGAGACACGGCCCAGACUCCUACGGGAGCAGCAGUGGGGAAUUGUUCGCAAUGGGCGCAAGCCUGACGACGCAACGCCGCGUGGAGGAUG
This 393-nucleotide ribosomal RNA is filed under the name uncultured bacterium. Its description in RNAcentral is "bacterial SSU rRNA". It matches the Rfam family "Bacterial small subunit ribosomal RNA", at positions 29 to 410 of the family's 1533-position model. The record is from RNAcentral.